UGGGGAAUCUUGCGCAAUGGGCGAAAGCCUGACGCAGCGACGCCGCGUGAGCGAUGAAGGCCUUCGGGUUGUAAAGCUCUGUGGGGAGAGAAGAAUAAGGGUUGGCUAACAUCCAACCUGAUGACGGUAUCUCCUUAGCAAGCACCGGCUAACUCUGUGCCAGCAGCCGCGGUAAGACAGAGGGUGCAAACGUUGUUCGGAAUCACUGGGCGUAAAGCGCGUGUAGGCUGUUUGACAAGUCGGAUGUGAAAUCCCACGGCUCAACCAUGGAAGUGCAUUCGAAACUGCCAAACUAGAGUUCUGGAGAGGAAGGCGGAAUACUCGGUGUAGAGGUGAAAUUCGUAGAUAUCGAGUGGAACACCGGUGGCGAAGGCGGCCUUCUGGACAGUGACUGACGCUGAAACGCGAAAGCGUGGGGAGCAAACAGG
RNAcentral lists this ribosomal RNA (428 nucleotides) under uncultured Myxococcales bacterium. RNAcentral's name for it is "bacterial SSU rRNA". It matches the Rfam family "Bacterial small subunit ribosomal RNA", at positions 355 to 776 of the family's 1533-position model. The record is from RNAcentral. Lineage: Bacteria; Pseudomonadati; Myxococcota; Myxococcia; Myxococcales.